GGGGAAAAAGAUGUUUGUAUGGGAUUGAGUGACUGGGAUGGUGGGAAGGAGAGGAAGGAGGAGAUAGUUUAGCUGGGUAGGAUGGUGAGAAGGAGUGAGAGAUGAGAUCGGGUGAUGAAUCUGAUGAUGGAAGUAAUGACCAGGGAAAGAGAAGAUGGUCCUGUAAGAAGAAAAGAAAAUGGCAAUAAACGAGGGACACAUAGGGUAGAAGGAAAGGCAUAUUUCUCUUU
RNAcentral lists this long non-coding RNA (230 nucleotides) under Phoenix dactylifera (date palm). RNAcentral's name for it is "long non-coding RNA (PDAC_LNC004927)". Lineage: Eukaryota; Viridiplantae; Streptophyta; Magnoliopsida; Arecales; Arecaceae. The record is from RNAcentral.